This 67-nucleotide transfer RNA is filed under the name Odorrana schmackeri (piebald odorous frog). RNAcentral's name for it is "tRNA-Tyr". It matches the Rfam family "tRNA". From Rfam's summary of the family: Transfer RNA (tRNA) molecules are approximately 80 nucleotides in length. Their secondary structure includes four short double-helical elements and three loops (D, anti-codon, and T loops). RNAcentral also lists the same sequence under 4 other names. The record is from RNAcentral. Lineage: Eukaryota; Metazoa; Chordata; Amphibia; Anura; Ranidae.
AGUAAGGUGGCCGAGCAGGUGGCGGAUUGUAGCUCCGAGGACAGAGGUUUGAGCCCUCUCUUUACUA